CAUUAGCGUAUACUAAAGUUGUUGCAGUUAAAACGCUCGUAGUUGAAUAUUGGACGAUUCGAAGAUGUUACGAUGGUAGUGUCAUUGAGUUGUCAUAUUCCCCAGUUUUGGGGAGAGUUACUUUGAGGAAAAUAGAGUGUUCCAAGCGAGCUAUGUCGAAUAGUGCAGCAUAGAAUAACAAUAGAUGACUCGAUGUAAUGUAUUACAAUGAGUAAAGGUGAAUAGGAGCGGUUGGGGGUGCCGGUAUUGAGUGCGGAGAGGUGAAAUUCUAAGAGUCACUCAGGACGAACGAAUGCGAAAGCAGAUGCCAAGGACGUUUCUGUUGA
Molecule: ribosomal RNA, 326 nt
Filed under: uncultured eukaryote
Lineage: Eukaryota
Description: partial 18S ribosomal RNA
Rfam family: Eukaryotic small subunit ribosomal RNA
Source: RNAcentral